Molecule: long non-coding RNA, 3522 nt
Filed under: Marmota monax (woodchuck)
Lineage: Eukaryota; Metazoa; Chordata; Mammalia; Rodentia; Sciuridae
Source: RNAcentral
GCCUCAUAUGUGCAAGGCAAGCAUUCCGCCACUGAGCCAAAACUCCAGCCCAGAUUUCCAAAAUUUUUGAUGUGCAAGUAAAACAGUUGUUAGAAACUUAAGAGUUUAAAUCUUAUAUUAUAAAAUUAUAAAUUUAUUAAAAUCAGACAUCUAAAUUUUUAACAAAAAUCUAGGAAAACAAAAUAAAUUUAACUUAAAAGUCCAAAAAAAGGAAAAAGAAAAUUAAUAAAAUUGAAAAUGGAUGUAUAUCAGAGAAAAUGAACAGAAUCAGAAGGUUUUGGGGGUUUUGUUUUUGUUUUUGAUAAACAACCUUCAAAACCAAUAAGGAAGAAAAACAAAAAAAUCUGAAAAAUGAAUUGUAACCAUCUGAAUGAAAUAGAUGACAUCCCUACAGCUCCUACGGAUAUUAAAAAGACAGUAAAGGACACCAAAAGAAUUUUUUUGUCAUUAGAUUUAACAUCUUCAAUGAAAAUCUGAAAAACACAAUAUUUCACUGCCUGCUUCUGUGUAAAAAUAUAUUCUUCGAAAUAUUGUCUUUGAAAAAACAGUAUUACACUAUCUACUUCUUCUUUUUUUUUUAAAGCUAGUGGUUUAAAAACUACAGCCACAUAAUAAUUUCUCAUAGUAAUGGGAAUUGACCAAGUUCAGCUAGGGGGCUCUCACUGGGGUCUCCCAUGUGGUUGCAACCAGAGGGAAGCUGGCUCAGGUCCUUAACAAGCUCAACUUGGAUACUGGGACACCCUCUGCUUAUAGUUCCAGGGCCUCAAAUGUGGCUUAUGUGGUCCCCCAAGAAUGAAGACAGGGCUCUUAGGCUAAGGGCACAGCAUCCCAAAAAUAUGUUUCUCAAGAGAGGAAAGUAAAAGCUGUAAGAUUUCUUUAGACCCAACCUCAGAGUUGUGGGGUGGGGGACAGGUGCAUGGAAUUAGUUCUGCAUACAUGGCAUACAUUAAGGGCUUCUGAGUGGCAGGCCACUCCCAUCAUGCUAGGUGUGUGAGUGGCAGGCCGGCCACUUACCCCGCAGGCACAGCCCUGGGUGUGAGGCCAUGUGUUGCAGUCCUGACACUUGCUCCAGGGCCCGCUCCUCAAUUGGUCACUACAAGGACAGUUGGCCAGAAUUUGUACUGGUGACUGCCUGUAAUCUGCUUGCUCUGGCCAGGUCCUCGAUUGGUCACUGCAAGGAUAGUUAGCAAGAAAGUGUAUUAGUGGCUGCCUAUAGUCUGUCUAGCUACUGCCUGAGUAUAUAUACAUGGUAACUGCACAAUAAAAUCAGACCUGCUUCCUGCUUGGUCUCCAGAGGUCUUGAUUAGCAACUCUGUAGCCACACUCUCCUCUACCCUGUUCUGUGGACCUCCUCGCUGGAUGAGAGAGAGCCCAUGCAUUGUCCCACAUGCUAUUUGUCAACAGAAUCAGCCCAGAUUGAAGGGGAUGAGAUAUAGAACAACAAUGCUCUUUUGAGAUGAGUAACAGAUAAUGUGCACCCUUCUUUAACCUACCCCAAAUAAUUUUUUAAAACUCACUAAAAGAGAGAGAAAUUGUGCAGUAAAUAAAUUUAAUUUUCUCAAAUCAUCUUCCAAAAGCAAUUAAAGGCCCACUUUGCUUCAGUGUUAAAUUCCACUAAAUAACUUCAAUUCAUCUGGAAUUGUUUGUUACUGGUGAUCUAAGUGUCAUCAUAAACUUUAUAAAGGGUUCAAACAACCUAGCAGUGUUUAUUAAAAGACUGUUUUCUGUCAUGCUACCAUAGAAACAUGUUUUAGGGUGGGUCUGCUUUUAAAUUUCUAUUCUAUUCUGUUGUCUUAUUUGUCUGCUCUUGACAAAACACUAUGCUAACUAACAAUCAUAUAGUAGGCCUUGAUAUAUUAUGUUUUUCCAGUUGUGUUAUAAUUUUCCAAAAUUUCCUUGGCUAACCUAAGAACUUAGCAAAUGCAUAUGAAUUUUAAAUUCAUCUUGAUGAUUCCUCCAUACCUUAAAAAGAAAAAAAAUGAAAGAAAAAGAAACAAAACAGCAAGCAAAUAAAAAGCCUUGGCAUGGUUUUUAAUGAGAUUUUAUUGAACACAUCUGUAAUUUGGAGAGAAUUGACAUUUUAAAAAUAUUUAGUGUUAUAAUCUCUAAACUGGGUAUUUUUCUCAAUAUGCUUAUGUCUAUUAUUUCUUCCAAUGAUGUUUCAUAAUUUUCAAUAUAAUUGUUUUCCAAUAUUUUGUAAGUUUUAUUCAUAGGUAUUGAUAAGUUUGAUACUGUUGUGAAAGUUAUCAUUUUCUUGAUUUUGUUUUCUGCUUAUGGUAGAACACAAUAUAAUUGGUUUUGGUUAUGCUGACCUUAUAUCCAGCAACUUUAUUAAAUUUGCUUAUUAGUCUGUGAACUUUUCUAUUAUGUUUGUUUUCUAAGUGUGUGCUCUUGUCAAGAGUAAAUAAUGGCAAUUUUACCUUCUUUGUAAUCCUUACACAUUUUAUUAACUUUUAUUGCCAGCUUUCAUUGCCUAAUACCUCUAAUACUCUAGAUAUCAAAGGGAGAUUUUUAAAAAUCUGCUCCUGGUUCUGAUGUGUGCAAUAGGAUAGCUAUCUUUUCUCACAUUGAGGAAGUUUCUUUUUAUUACAAGUUAGCUAAUAGAUUUUUUUUAAUUAAGACAACUUUCUAAGUUCUGGAGCAGUUUUUUACAAAGCUAAAAAUACUCUCACACUAUGAUUCAGAAAAUGUAUUCCUAAGUGUUGACCCAAAUUAGUGGAUAACUUAUAUCCACACAAAAACCUGUAUGGAUAUUUACAGCAGCAUUAUUCAUGAUUGUCCCAAAUGGGAAGCAACUGAGAUAGCCUUCAAUAAGUAAUAGAUAAACCAUAGUAUAUCCAUAAAAUGGAGUGUUAAUUCAGCAUUCAAGAUAUCAAGCUAUGAAAAGACACGGAGGAAACUUAAGGGCCUCUUACUAAGUGAAAGAAGCUGGUCUGAAAAAAUACUAUAUAUAUAUAUUUGCAAUUAUAUAACAUUAUAGGAUGGGUAAAACUAUAGAGGCAUUAAAUAUAUCAGUAUUUUCCAGGGGUUCAUGAGCAGGAGAGGAGAGAUUAUUAGUUGGAACACAGAGCAUUUGUUUAGGUCUGUAGAACUAUGCUGUAUGAUAUUGUAAUGGUGAAUAUAUGGCUUAACAUAUUUAUCAGAACCCAUAGAACUAUGUGAUACAGUGUGAACCCUAGAAUAACUAUGGACUUUAGCUAAGAAUAAAUGUCAGUAUUCUAAUAAGUAUUAUAACAAAUAUUAUUAGUAUUAUAACAAGUGUACCAAACUAAUGCAAGAUGUUAAUUAUAGAAGAAACUGGAUCAGGUGAUGGAGGGAAGAGGCUGUGGGGGAACUCUCUGUACUUUCUCUGCAUUUUUUUUGUAAAGUUAAAAAUGUUCUAAAACUAAUAUGGAUUUAUUUUUUCUUUUUUAUUACAUACCCAUCUAAAUUUUAUUGUAUUCUCUUUUGUAAAUCUGUGUUUUUAUAAUUAAAAAAUCAUACAUAUGUAAUAGAAACACUUGUGCCUAGUCUAUCCUCAAU